AGUCUGCAGAUCUGGUUGGGUGAGACCGGCUAUAUAAAAGGGCGGAUCACAAAGCAGAAGCUUUCUCCGUAGUUCCAGUCUCCCGUCACACUGUUGGGUACCCAAACUUCCAGGUGCUCUUUGGUUGGCUGGGCGCUAGAUGGUUGGAGUUUAGACUGGCCAGUUGGAGUAGCAGCCACAGGAUCUUUACCACCACAGAGCCUGUGGAAGGUGUGGAGGUUCCAACCGUUUUUUUUACGACUGCAUUCCGGACCACUUUUUGCCCUGGAGCAAGUCGGAAACCCUGAAUUUCUUGUCAUUUUUUUUGCCGAGUUCCUCCUUUUUGCCUGAACAAAAGGGUGUAAUCGCAACCAGGUCUCCAGACCAGAGCUGCAUCAACACACCACUGCACAAAGAAACCAACCCCAGAUCCACUAUAGACAUGAUCAUCAGACUGGGCAGACUGACCCCUGGAUACUUCCGCCUCCUACAGAGACAGGUGGCCGGUGAGGUGCAGACCCAGCCACAGGACCGCGCGGUCAACCAGAUAGCCAUGAUGCUGGCCAUCAUGGGCCUGAGCCUGUCCUACUACAGUGCCAAACGGAUGACCGAGAAGGUCCAGAGGCUCCAGAAGAGAGGAGAUCCCCAUACACCCUGAAGAGACCCCCCCCCCCCCCAGUGCGGACCUCAACCUGGAGAGAAGACGAACCAACGCGGAAAUGAGGAGAGGAGACAUGGAGAUGACAGUGUUGGUGUCCAGAACAACACCUUUUCACAACCAAUCAGUCGUAGUCACGUCAUUCAGACACUGGAGUUUUUUUUACUGGGAUCACUCUCAAUGCGAGGAGAAUUCGGGAGCUGCUGCUGUUAAGGGUAUCUUAAUCUUUCACUCCAAUGGCUGUUGGGAGGACCUUGUGGGUGGAUUUUGGGGGGGGAUAUGGGGAGUGUAUGUGGGAAAGGCCCAUGGUGGGUUUCGUGUGGUCCUGAUAAAGUUUGGGAGGUAAAAAGUACAACCAGCUGUCUAUGGUCAGGCUGGGCCCGUGCUUCAGUCGUUGCCAAGGUAAAUGCGUGCAGGAUGCUGUCAAUACUGUUCUGAGCUAAAAAGGGAUAGAGAAAUGCUUAACUAAUUAUUCUAAUGUACUGUGAAUCUUGCCAGUGCUCCAAGUAUAUGACAGUUUGUCUAAAAUAACUGAACAGUAAUAAUUUUUUAAUGGAAGGCUAUCUGCAUUUGAGAUGUAUCUAGUAAUGACUGAAGGCGGGCCCGUAGUGUGGCUGAAAGUGGGGAGAAAGGAACUCUCUUAGGUUUUUGUAAUUCCUUAUUGUUAAAAAAAAUAAAAGUGAGCUAUGUGAACUAGAUGUGGAGGAGUCUCAAACUGGUCAAUAAUUCCACACAUGUUCAAUAUCUGUUAAUGUCAGACACAAACAACUGUACAUUACUGGUGAAAUUAAGUAUUUUAACGUUUUGGGAACUUGCUUAUCCAAAUCUACGAGAGAAAAAAAGGCACUUAAAUCACAACUUUUUCACAAUGUUUCUAGAUUAAAGUCCUGAUAAAAAUGUGUGUCUUUCUUUUAAGAACUCGAUCUGUAAUAGCUACUAGGUGUUACCACAAAUAUUCUAACUUUAGUAAACGUUGCAUGGGUGUGCAGCUUUUAAUCUCUUCGUUAAUACUGUCACGUUAAGUUUUUUAAAGAAUGAUAACCACGAAUGUAUAUUUCUGUGAUGUUUUGUAGAAAUCGAAUAAAGCUGUGACUUGAAAAAUAAGAACCGUGGCAGUUUAGUAAUGAUAUUAAGGUGUUAGGGAAUUUUGGAAAAACCGACGUGAACAAGCAUUUUAUCACUAUUUAGUUUAGGGGAACUUCUUUAAUCAACAUUUUUCUGUGAAAUGAUGAUAUUGCCCCACCAUUUCAGCUCAAUAGCUGCUUGGCUGGAUAUGGCAUAUUAGACUCUGUAGCACCACUUCCUGUAUCGUAGGGUGUCUGGUGUCCGCAGGAGCGUGCCGUCUGCACGCAACAGGAAGUGUUCAGGCCUUCAGACAGCCGUUGUCUUCAUCAUAACUGGGGCAUCUGUAUCUGUCUGUAGUCUCUGUACCAGUCUGCCCUCAAAUCCGUAGCCCCUCCUGCACCAAUUUAACAGUGGUGGCAAAAUCACAGGGCAAUGUUUUAAUCUAUACCGAACAAAAAUAUAAAUGCAAUAAUUUCAACGAUCUUACUGAGUUACAGUUCAUAUAAGGAAAUCGGUUUAUUGAAAAAAAUGUGCCCCUAAUCUAUGGAUUUCACAUGACUGGGCAGGGGUGCAGCCAUGAGUGGGCCUGGGAGAGCAUAGGCCUACCCACUUGGGAGACUGGCUCACCCACUGGCAGCCAGGCCCAGCCAAUCGGAAUGAGUUUUUCAACACAAAGGGCUUUAAUGCAUACAGAAAUACUCCUCAGUUUCAUCAGCUGUCCGAGUGGCUGGUCUCAGACGAUCCCGCAGGUGAAGCCAGAUGUGGAGGUCCUGGGCUGGCGUUGUUAUACAUGGUCUGCGGUUGUGAGGUCGGUUGGAUGUACUGCUCAUUCUCUAAAAUGACGUUGGAGGCAGCUUAUAGUAGAGAAAUGAACAUUAAUUUAUCUGGCAACAACUCUGGUGGACAUUCUUGCAGUCAGCAUGCCAAUUGCACGCUCCCUCAAAACUUGAGACAUCUGUGUGACAAAACUGCACAUUUUAGAGUGGCCUUUUAUUGUCCCCAGCACAAGCUGCACCUGCGUAAUGAUCAUGUUGUUUAAUCAGGUUCUUGAUAUGCCACACCUGUCAGGUGGAUGGAUUAUCUUGGCAAAGGACAAAUGCUCACUAACAGGGAUGUAAACAAAUUUGUCCCCAAAAUUUGAGGUAAAUAUGCUUUCUGUGCAUUUGGAAAACUUCUGGGAUAUUUUAUUUCAGCUCAUGAAACAUGGGGGACCAUCACUUUACAUGCUGUGUUUAUAUUUUUGUUCAGUAUGUUUUGCUUUUACUGUCAGACAGUUUGUUAAUACAGAAAAGCAGUCAAAUCUGAAUUGUUACUAUGUGUUCUCAAAUGGCACUCAUUUUAGAACGUGUGCAGAUUAUAAAUCCUGAGGGUUGGAGGAAGACUCAUGCACCGGUUAAACAUCAGCCAUUCUGAGGCCUCUCCUUGUCUGUUCCAUGUUAUCUCUACAGAAUGUUCUCUUCUAUACCUGGGUAGACUGUAUAGAAGCUAUGCAUCUGAGGUACUUAUAGCAUGACCAUGUUAGGGAGGGUGAGAGGAUAGGGAAGUGGUGACUGUUGAGGACUUCAGAUAAGAGGGA
Salvelinus fontinalis (brook trout) is the source of this 3278-nucleotide long non-coding RNA. RefSeq lists it as uncharacterized. The transcript is spliced from 3 exons. The record is from RefSeq and is a predicted model, not a curated record. Lineage: Eukaryota; Metazoa; Chordata; Actinopteri; Salmoniformes; Salmonidae.